Molecule: unclassified non-coding RNA, 187 nt
Filed under: uncultured Ascomycota
Lineage: Eukaryota; Fungi; Ascomycota
Description: sequence contains ITS1
Source: RNAcentral
UCGAGUACUUUCGGUUGACCCCGAAAACUCCCCAUCCUUGUGUAUUUUCGCUGAAAAGCAGCUUCGGUGAGCCGUCUAGUCCUUAGCAAUAAGGACUGGACGUCGGCCCUGUGCGGAUCAGAGUUCACCGAAGAUCUCCAAUAUCUUAUUAACUUGAAGUCUGACAUUUUGAACUAAAAUCAAAUCA